GCUGUUUUUCUCGACAUGCCU
This 21-nucleotide non-coding RNA is filed under the name Arabidopsis thaliana (thale cress). The record is from RNAcentral. Lineage: Eukaryota; Viridiplantae; Streptophyta; Magnoliopsida; Brassicales; Brassicaceae.